Bombina bombina (fire-bellied toad) is the source of this 1786-nucleotide long non-coding RNA. RefSeq lists it as uncharacterized. NCBI's taxonomy places the organism in Eukaryota, Metazoa, Chordata, Amphibia, Anura, Bombinatoridae. The transcript is spliced from 4 exons. The record is from RefSeq and is a predicted model, not a curated record.
UUUGCUAAAUAUGUUAGGGACCCUGCCAGAGUCUGAAAAGAGAACUUGGAGUCGUCAAGUAGAAGCACUAGUUCAUGCCUACAACUGCACCCGACAUGAUUCCACAGGUUAUUCACCAUACUUCCUUAUGUUUGGGAUAGAAGCGAGACUACCUAUAGAUCUCCAGUUAGGGGUGUCAUCAGAUGGAGUUUCUCAUAAGAGUCACUAUCAGUAUGUCAGGCGAUUGCAGAAGAGUUUACAAACAGCUUAUAAGUUGGCUGAAGAAGCUACUGCUCGAUUAAAUGAGGCUAAUAAACAACGAUAUGACAAGAGAAUAAAACAUCAGGAUUUGCAACCAGGAGACCGUGUCCUUUUACGGAAUUUAGGGAUACCAGGCAAGCACAAGUUAGCUCCUAGAUGGAGGAAUAGUAUCUAUAGAAUAGUCAGACAAUUGCCAUGUCUUCCAGUUUUUCAGAUAGCAGAUGAAAAUGGUGUUGUGAAGACAUGACAUCGGAAUAAUUUGUUGCCUAUACCUCAAUUCCAGCAUGAUGUUACAUAUCAUGAGGACCAAGGCCCAAGCAUGUCAAUUAAUAAUGAAUAUAGUAUCCCACAUGAAGACUCAUCAAUUCAAUCGGACCCUGAAAUGAGAUCUCCAUUGCAAAGAGAGACCUAUAAUGAUGAGCAUGCCUCCUCUGUUGCCCCAACCUCUGAACCUGAUAUGCCAUCCUUCCCUAAUAGUCCUAUACCAGAUAGGGAAUCUCCAAACCCUAUACAUUAUGAUAGUAGAAGUCCCUAUAGAGAGAAAAGACCAGCAAGAAAAAGACAUCCCCCAAAGAAAUUGACAUAUGAUACACUAGGAAACCCUGGUUAUAAUGUUGAACCCUUGUUGCCUGCUCUAACAUCUGCUGUACGAUGUGUUUUGAAAGAUGUAUACCCUAACCAUAAUUUGACUCAUGAUGAAUAUGUGAUUUUGUUAGUAGACUUGCUAAAGAAAAUGUAUUGAUGUGUUGCUCUUGUACCCCUUGCUGGGGACAGCAAGUUUUUUUUUGGGGGGGAGUAUGUAAGGACCUUGCCCUUACCCAAGAUGGCUGCUGUAAUAGUUGUAUUGAGGAAGAGAAAUGCCAUCUGGGAAGGGGGAGGAGUGUUAGUGCUGAGGAGAUUUUCUGAGGUGUUAAGAGAAGUGUGGAGCUUGCACAGACUUUGAGAUGGGGGAAGAAAGUUGCUGUUUCCAAGCUGAAAGAAGUUAUUCAGACUAAUGCAUGGAUUCCAGAGACAGUUCAGACAUUGCUACAUGUGGCUGCUGAAGACAGAAGUUGGAACCUUUUAUUUGUACUAAAUCAGGAAUAAAAGGAUUGGGAAUCUAUAUUUCAUUACAACUAAGUUCUGUGUAUACUCAAGAAAGGAAGUGACCUGGUAGACCGACACAGUGUAGAGGGAGGGUCCACAGCUGCAUUCAUUACUUGUGGGAAAAGAGAACCUGGCCACCAGGAGGAGGGCAAGACACCCCAGCCAAAGGCUUAAAUACCUCCCCCACUCCCCCCCAUCCCCCAGUCAUUCUGCCGAGGGAACAAGGAACAGUAGAAGAAAUAUCAGGGUGAAAAAGGUGCCAGAAGAAAACAUCAAAAUUAAGGCCGCCCACCAGAGAGCACGAGCGGGAGCUGUGGACUCUCCCUGUACCGAAGUAAAGGAAAUUAUCUGGUAUUUUGUAACAUUGGAUACUGGAGAAUGGAACUCCCCAGUAGAAGAGAAGCAGCAUGUGAUCGAAGGACUGAGUAUGAGUAGUGAUUUUGACACAUUUGUGGAAACC